AUGUUGGGCCAGGCCGCACACAUGCCCAGCAUUCACCCACCCAGAGGCCCACAGCCCACAGCCCGAACUAGUAGGCCAACUCGAGGUUUCUCCUCUCGUGGCACGCACGCAGACCAACGGAAUCGGGCGACGAGGGUUUCUGCGCUCCAACAUCCCGGCGGCGAGGAAGAGAAGGCGGCGGAGAUGGCGGUGAUGGACACGGCGUUCAAGGUGCUGACGGCGGGGCUGGGCGUCGCGACGCUCUACCUGGCCGGCUCCUUCUCCUUCAACGUCUACCGCGGCCUCGCCUGGCACUCCGAGCAAUCCAAGCUAGAAAAAGAAAAGGAGAAGAAUGAAGAUUGA
Molecule: ribosomal RNA, 342 nt
Filed under: Triticum aestivum (bread wheat)
Lineage: Eukaryota; Viridiplantae; Streptophyta; Magnoliopsida; Poales; Poaceae
Description: partial small subunit ribosomal RNA
Source: RNAcentral